GUCCUGCGGGGGCCCCGUGGGAAGAGGGGAGUGAGUGAGCGGGCGAGAGCCACACACAGCCUCCUGCUGUCCUUGGGGCUGCAAGGAUUGCUGGGGCCAGGAUGAGGUCCCGUUGGGAGAAGAGACCAUCAGGAAAUCUCAGAUGCAAGGCAAGGAGCUCCGAAUAAGAAGUCGCCAACGUCUCAGUUUGCUGCGGAAGAUCAUCACUUAGGGAAACUGUCCACACUUGGCUGCCGAGCCAGCACAUCCUUCCUGGAAGCUGUGGUCAGUCCUGCUGAAGUCUUCGUCUUCUUUUCAUCAGCCAGUGGAGAAAUGGAUGGAUGAUGCCAUUGGGAGGAAGGAGGAGUGAAAGCAGUAGAAGGAUCUGGCUUGAGAAACACAGGAACUGUUAAGAAGAAGCCUGUUGCUUUUGAGGCUUAAGCUGGUUGAGGUCAGAGGCAGGUGAUAGAGCCGAUGGAGAACUUCCAUUUAUGUGAUGUAUACACCUAACAUUUGCACGUAAUGAAUU
Oryctolagus cuniculus (rabbit) is the source of this 508-nucleotide non-coding RNA. Lineage: Eukaryota; Metazoa; Chordata; Mammalia; Lagomorpha; Leporidae. The record is from RefSeq and is a predicted model, not a curated record.